UGCAGUCGACGGAACUGUUUUGAAGAUUUCUUCGGAAUGAAUUUGAUUUAGUUUAGUGGCGGACGGGUGAGUAACGCGUGAGUAACCUGCCUUCAAGAGGGGGAUAACAUUCUGAAAAGAAUGCUAAUACCGCAUGAUAUAUCGGAAUCACAUGAUUUUGAUAUCAAAGAUUUUAUCGCUUGAAGAUGGACUCGCGUCCGAUUAGUUAGUUGGUGAGGUAACGGCUCACCAAGACCGCGAUCGGUAGCCGGACUGAGAGGUUGAACGGCCACAUUGGGACUGAGACACGGCCCAGACUCCUACGGGAGGCAGCAGUGGGGGAUAUUGCGCAAUGGGGGCAACCCUGACGCAGCAACGCCGCGUGAAGGAUGAAGGUUUUCGGAUUGUAAACUUCUUUUAUUAAGGACGAAAAUUGACGGUACUUAAUGAAUAAGCUCCGGCUAACUACGUGCCAGCAGCCGCGGUAAUACGUAGGGAGCAAGCGUUGUCCGGAUUUACUGGGUGUAAAGGGUGCGUAGGCGGCUUUGCAAGUCAGAUGUGAAAUCUAUGGGCUCAACCCAUAAACUGCAUUUGAAACUGUAGAGCUUGAGUGAAGUAGAGGCAGGCGGAAUUCCCCGUGUAGCGGUGAAAUGCGUAGAGAUGGGGAGGAACACCAGUGGCGAAGGCGGCCUGCUGGGCUU
This 680-nucleotide ribosomal RNA is filed under the name uncultured bacterium. RNAcentral's name for it is "bacterial SSU rRNA". It matches the Rfam family "Bacterial small subunit ribosomal RNA", at positions 56 to 736 of the family's 1533-position model. The record is from RNAcentral.